Long non-coding RNA from Triticum aestivum (bread wheat), 352 nucleotides. RefSeq lists it as uncharacterized. Lineage: Eukaryota; Viridiplantae; Streptophyta; Magnoliopsida; Poales; Poaceae. The transcript has 3 exons. The record is from RefSeq and is a predicted model, not a curated record.
GCUUACUUCCAUCUCUCGUUUGAUCACAGGCUUUCAAAGGUGGGGCAUGGGCUCAGAGGCACAAAUUGGACUGACAAAUGCUGAUAGAGGAGGAGAACACCAUGCAAUAAAAAGAAACACCCAAGCGCAGAUCUGUUUCAACGCAAACGGUAGCUGAUGCUAAUAUAAUUGGUCGGCGUAGCAGCGAUCCAUCCAACACGCCUAGAGAUACCUAGGCACUCGAUGAUAUUUCUCGCGUCAAUGCACCCCCUAUGCCGGGAAUCGAUGGCUCAACCGGCAAUCGAGCAGGAUGGAUAUCCUAGCGCCUCUAUAUUAGCACCCACAAGGAAAGUAAACAUAGACGCAUAUUGUG